UACGGAAGGGGCAAGCGUUGUUCGGAAUCAUUGGGCGUAAAGGGCGCGUAGGUGGUUCUGUAUGUCUAUCGUGAAAGCAUACAGCUCAACUGUAUUUUGUCGGUAGAAACUACAGGACUUGAGGCUGGGAGGGGCUGGUGGAAUUCCCUGUGUAGCGGUGAAAUGCGUAGAGAUGGGGGAGAACACUCGUGGCGAAGGCGGCCAGCUAGACCAGUUCUGACACUGAGGCGCGACAGCGUGGGGAGCAAACAGG
RNAcentral lists this ribosomal RNA (253 nucleotides) under uncultured bacterium. Its description in RNAcentral is "partial 16S ribosomal RNA". It matches the Rfam family "Bacterial small subunit ribosomal RNA", at positions 524 to 776 of the family's 1533-position model. The record is from RNAcentral.